This 490-nucleotide ribosomal RNA is filed under the name uncultured Desulfobulbus sp. Its description in RNAcentral is "bacterial SSU rRNA". It matches the Rfam family "Bacterial small subunit ribosomal RNA", at positions 903 to 1382 of the family's 1533-position model. The record is from RNAcentral. Lineage: Bacteria; Pseudomonadati; Thermodesulfobacteriota; Desulfobulbia; Desulfobulbales; Desulfobulbaceae.
CUACAAAGGAAGUUGACGGGGGCCCGGCACAAGCGGUGGAGUAUGUGGUUAAUUCGAUGCAACGCGAAGAACCUUACCUGGUCUUGACAUCCCGGAGACCCUUAGGAAACUAGGGGGUGCUUCCAUCUGGAAGAAUCUGGAGACAGGUGCUGCAUGGCUGUCGUCAGCUCGUGUCGUGAGAUGUUGGGUUAAGUCCCGCAACGAGCGCAACCCUUGCCUUUAGUUGCCAGCAGUUCGGCUGGGCACUCUAAAGGGACUGCCGGUGUUAAACCGGAGGAAGGUGGGGAUGACGUCAAGUCCUCAUGGCCUUUAUGACCAGGGCUACACACGUACUACAAUGGCCGAUACAAAGGGCAGCGACACUGCGAGGUGAAGCCAAUCCCGUAAAAUCGGUCUCAGUCCGGAUUGGAGUCUGCAACUCGACUGCGUGAAGUCGGAAUCGCUAGUAAUCGUGAAUCAGAAUGUCACGGUGAAUACGUUCCCGGGCCUU